UACUAGAGUAGCACUCGCAUAUCAAUAAGCGGAGGAAAAGAAACUAACAAGGAUUCCCCUAGUAACGGCGAGUGAAGCGGGAAGAGCUCAAAUUUGAAAUCUUAAAGGGUUUCCCUUUACGAAUUGUAGUUUAAAGAAGUGUUUUCUGCUGAGGUUUUGGUAAAAGUUCUUUGGAAUAGGACAUCAUAGAGGGUGAGAAUCCCGUAUUUGACCUUUACUUUCAACUUUGUGAUACACUUUCAAAGAGUCGGAUUGUUUGGGAAUGCAGUCCAAAAUGGGUGGUAAAUUUCAUCUAAAGCUAAAUAUUGGCGAGAGACCGAUAGCGAACAAGUACCGUGAGGGAAAGAUGAAAAGAACUUUGAAAAGAGAGUUAAACAGUACGUGAAAUUGUCAAAAGGGAAGCGUUUGACACCAGUGUUGUUUUUCUGAAAAUCAAUUAAAGAACUGUUUAUGCUAAGCUGUUUAGACUUUAUCAGCUAUACUGUUUAGUUUUGAGCUUUUCUUUAAUGCACUUUUCAGUUAACAAGUCAACAUCAAUUUCUUUUGCUGUAAAAAAGCUUGAGGAAGGUGGCUUGAGAUUCGUCUUAAGUGUUUAUAGCCUCUUGCCUAUGCAGUCGGAGAGAUUGAGGUCUGCAGCGUAGAUCCUUCGGGGCUAAAUGCAUUUGUGCUAAGUUAUAGCAUUUUAUAGACAACUUGUUGACUAUGAUUUGUCUUGUAGCUUACUCGCUUAUGUUAUUUUACCUACGCUUAGGAUGUUGAGCGCAUGUCUCUCUCU
This 775-nucleotide ribosomal RNA is filed under the name uncultured Neocallimastigales. Its description in RNAcentral is "partial large subunit ribosomal RNA". It matches the Rfam family "Eukaryotic large subunit ribosomal RNA", at positions 20 to 616 of the family's 3401-position model. The record is from RNAcentral. Lineage: Eukaryota; Fungi; Neocallimastigomycota; Neocallimastigomycetes; Neocallimastigales.